UGGGGAUGUGGCUCAGUGGUAGAGUGCUUGCCUGGCAUGUGUGAGGCCCUGAGUUCAAUCCUCAACACAUAA
RNAcentral lists this transfer RNA (72 nucleotides) under Marmota monax (woodchuck). RNAcentral's name for it is "tRNA.Ala". The stretch from base 7 to 67 matches the Rfam family "tRNA", at positions 6 to 65 of the family's 71-position model. Rfam says of the family: Transfer RNA (tRNA) molecules are approximately 80 nucleotides in length. The record is from RNAcentral. Lineage: Eukaryota; Metazoa; Chordata; Mammalia; Rodentia; Sciuridae.